This 537-nucleotide ribosomal RNA is filed under the name Ara macao (Scarlet macaw). RNAcentral describes it as "partial 16S large subunit ribosomal RNA". The record is from RNAcentral. Lineage: Eukaryota; Metazoa; Chordata; Aves; Psittaciformes; Psittacidae.
CCUGCAAAACGAAUCUAAGUUCCCCCUUAACCCUCUUUUCCCUCCCCAGACAAACCCAACCCAAAUGUGAUAGUUAAGGGCUAUUUAAAGGGGGUACAGCCCCUUUAAAAAAGGACACAACCUCCACCAGCGGAUAACCCCUGUACGCCCAACCCCGUGGGCCUUAAAGCAGCCACCCCCAAAGAUUGCGUCAAAGCUCCAUCAACCAAAAACCCCCAAAACCAAUGCGACUCCCUACACCCACAGCAGGCCAACCUAUAACAAUAGAUGAAUCAAUGCUAGAACGAGUAACCAGGACACUANGUCCCCCCAAGCGCCAGCCUGUAUACCAUUAACAGUAAAACCUCAAUAAUAACCACCCCCACCAUUGAACCCACCCUGUCAACCCAACUCAGGGGCGCACACUGGAGUGAUCAAAAUCUACAAAAGGAACUCGGCAAACCUAAGACCCGACUGUUUACCAAAAACAUAGCCUUCAGCCAAACAAGUAUUGAAGGUGAUGCCUGCCCAGUGACACCAUGUUUAACGGCCGCGGUA